Molecule: ribosomal RNA, 270 nt
Filed under: Triticum aestivum (bread wheat)
Lineage: Eukaryota; Viridiplantae; Streptophyta; Magnoliopsida; Poales; Poaceae
Description: partial small subunit ribosomal RNA
Source: RNAcentral
CUGAAGAAGGGCCCGUGGACGCCGGAUGAGGACCAGCUGUUGGUGGAGCACGUACGGCGGCACGGCGAAGGGAGCUGGAACGCGGUGCGGCGGGAGACAGGGCUGCUGCGCUGCGGCAAGAGUUGCCGGCUCCGGUGGGCCAACCACCUUCGCCCCAACCUCAAGCGGGGCCCCUUCUCGCCGGAGGAGGAGCGCCUCAUCCUCCGCCUCCACGCGCUCAUUGGCAACAAGUGGGUGCGCAUCUCCGCACACCUGCCGGGGAGGACGGAC